This 430-nucleotide ribosomal RNA is filed under the name uncultured bacterium. Its description in RNAcentral is "bacterial SSU rRNA". It matches the Rfam family "Bacterial small subunit ribosomal RNA", at positions 355 to 777 of the family's 1533-position model. The record is from RNAcentral.
UGGGGAAUCUUCCGCAAUGGGCGAAAGCCUGACGGAGCAAUGCCGCGUGAGUGAUGAAGGAAUUCGUUCCGUAAAGCUCUUUUGUUUAUGACGAAUGUGCAGACUGUGAAUAAUGGUUUGUAAUGACGGUAGUAAACGAAUAAGCACCGGCUAACUACGUGCCAGCAGCCGCGGUAAUACGUAGGUGGCGAGCGUUGUCCGGAAUUAUUGGGCGUAAAGAGCAUGUAGGCGGUUUUUUAAGUCCGGAGUGAAAAUGCGGGGCUCAACCCCGUAUGGCUCUGGAUACUGGAAGACUUGAGUGCAGGAGAGGAAAGGGGAAUUCCCAGUGUAGCGGUGAAAUGCGUAGAUAUUGGGAGGAACACCAGUGGCGAAGGCGCCUUUCUGGACUGUGUCUGACGCUGAGAUGCGAAAGCCAGGGUAGCGAACGGGA